RNAcentral lists this ribosomal RNA (360 nucleotides) under Streptococcus mutans. RNAcentral describes it as "bacterial SSU rRNA". It matches the Rfam family "Bacterial small subunit ribosomal RNA", at positions 28 to 370 of the family's 1533-position model. Lineage: Bacteria; Bacillati; Bacillota; Bacilli; Lactobacillales; Streptococcaceae. The record is from RNAcentral.
GACGAACGCUGGCGGCGUGCCUAAUACAUGCAAGUGGGACGCAAGGGAACACACUGUGCUUGCACACCGUGUUUUCUUGAGUCGCGAACGGGUGAGUAACGCGUAGGUAACCUGCCUAUUAGCGGGGGAUAACUAUUGGAAACGAUAGCUAAUACCGCAUACUAUUAAUUAUUGCAUGAUAAUUGAUUGAAAGAUGCAAGCGCAUCACUAGUAGAUGGACCUGCGUUGUAUUAGCUAGUUGGUAAGGUAAGAGCUUACCAAGGCGACGAUACAUAGCCGACCUGAGAGGGUGAUCGGCCACACUGGGACUGAGACACGGCCCAGACUCCUACGGGAGGCAGCAGUAGGGAAUUUUCGGCA